GCAUAACGCGAAGAACCUUACCAGGCCUUGACAUCCUCGGAACCCCGAGAGAGUCGGGGGUGCCCUUCGGGGAACCAGGUGACAGGUGCUGCAUGGCUGUCGUCAGCUCGUGUCGUGAGAUGUUCGGUUAAGUCCGGCAACGAGCGCAACCCUCGCCAUUAGUUGCCAGCAGUUCGGCUGGGCACUCUAAUGGGACUGCCCGUGAAAGCGGGAGGAAGGCGGGGAUGAUGUCUAGUCAGCAUGGUCCUUACGGCCUGGGCGACACACGUGCUACAAUGGCCGGUACAGCGCGUCGCCACCUCGCGAGAGGGAGCUAAUCGCGAAAGCCGGUCCCAGUUCAGAUCGCAGUCUGCAACUCGACUGCGUGAAGUUGGAAUCGCUAGUAAUCGCGGAUCAGCCAUGCCGCGGUGAAUACGUUCCCGGGUCUUGUACACACCG
Molecule: ribosomal RNA, 438 nt
Filed under: uncultured bacterium
Lineage: Bacteria
Description: bacterial SSU rRNA
Rfam family: Bacterial small subunit ribosomal RNA
Source: RNAcentral